GUGGGGAAUCUUAGACAAUGGGGGAAACCCUGAUCUAGCCAUGCCGCGUGAUCGAUGAAGGCCUUAGGGUUGUAAAGAUCUUUCGCUGGGGAAGAUAAUGACUGUACCCAGUAAAGAAGCCCCGGCUAACUCCGUGCCAGCAGCCGCGGUAAUACGGAGGGGGCUAGCGUUAUUCGGAAUUACUGGGCGUAAAGCGCACGUAGGCGGACCAGAAAGUUGGGGGUGAAAUCCCGGGGCUCAACCUCGGAACUGCCUUCAAAACUCCUGGUCUUGAGUUCGAGAGAGGUGAGUGGAAUUCCGAGUGUAGAGGUGAAAUUCGUAGAUAUUCGGAGGAACACCAGUGGCGAAGGCGGCUCACUGGCUCGAUACUGACGCUGAGGUGCGAAAGCGUGGGGAGCAAACAGGAUUAGAUACCCUUGUAGUCC
Molecule: ribosomal RNA, 425 nt
Filed under: uncultured bacterium
Lineage: Bacteria
Description: partial 16S ribosomal RNA
Rfam family: Bacterial small subunit ribosomal RNA
Source: RNAcentral